CGGACGGGUGAGUAACGCGUGAGAAUCUGCCCUCAGGAGGGGGAUAACAGUUGGAAACGACUGCUAAUACCCCAUAUGCCGAGAGGUGAAACGAAUUUCGCCUGGGGAUGAGCUCGCGUCUGAUUAGCUUGUUGGUGGGGUAAAGGCCUACCAAGGCUUCGAUCAGUAGCUGGUCUGAGAGGACGAUCAGCCACACUGGGACUGAGACACGGCCCAGACUCCUACGGGAGGCAGCAGUGGGGAAUUUUCCGCAAUGGGCGAAAGCCUGACGGAGCAACGCCGCGUGAGGGAUGAAGGCCUUUGGGCUGUAAACCUCUUUUCUCAAGGAAGAAGAUCUGACGGUACUUGAGGAAUAAGCCACGGCUAAUUCCGUGCCAGCAGCCGCGGUAAUACGGGAGUGGCGAGCGUUAUCCGGAAUUAUUGGGCGUAAAGCGUCCGCAGGCGGCCGUCUAAGUCUGUUGUUAAAUCGUGGAGCUUAACUCCAUCACGGCAAUGGAAACUGUUCGGCUUGAGUGUGGUAGGGGCAGAGGGAAUUUCCGGUGUAGCGGUGAAAUGCGUAGAUAUCGGGAAGAACACCAGUGGCGAAAGCGCUCUGCUAGGCCAUUACUGACGCUCAUGGACGAAAGCCAGGGGAGCGAAUGGGAUUAGAUACCCCAGUAGUC
RNAcentral lists this ribosomal RNA (662 nucleotides) under uncultured bacterium. RNAcentral describes it as "bacterial SSU rRNA". It matches the Rfam family "Bacterial small subunit ribosomal RNA", at positions 99 to 795 of the family's 1533-position model. The record is from RNAcentral.